CAGCAGCCGCGGGAACACCAGCACCUCGAGUGGUCAGGAGGUUUAUUGGGCCUAAAGCAUCCGUAGCCGGUUGUUUAAGUUUUCGGUUAAAUCUAUGCGCUUAACGUAUAGGCUGCCGAAAAUACUGGACAGCUAGGGAGUGGGAGAGGUACACGGUACUCAAUAGGAAGGGGUAAAAUCCUUUGAUCUGUUGAUGACCACCUGUGGCGAAGGCGGUGUACCAGAACACGUUCGACGGUGAGGGAUGAAAGCUGGGGGAGCAAACCGGAUUAGAUACCCCCGUAGUCCCUGUCUCUUAUAA
RNAcentral lists this ribosomal RNA (301 nucleotides) under uncultured bacterium. Its description in RNAcentral is "partial 16S ribosomal RNA". It matches the Rfam family "Archaeal small subunit ribosomal RNA", at positions 459 to 760 of the family's 1478-position model. The record is from RNAcentral.